This 482-nucleotide ribosomal RNA is filed under the name uncultured bacterium. Its description in RNAcentral is "partial 16S ribosomal RNA". It matches the Rfam family "Bacterial small subunit ribosomal RNA", at positions 30 to 507 of the family's 1533-position model. The record is from RNAcentral.
AUUGAACGCUGGCGGCAUGCCUUACACAUGCAAGUCGAACGGUAACAGGUCUUCGGAUGCUGACGAGUGGCGAACGGGUGAGUAAUACAUCGGAACGUGCCCGAUCGUGGGGGAUAACGAAGCGAAAGCUUUGCUAAUACCGCAUACGAUCUACGGAUGAAAGCGGGGGAUCUUCGGACCUCGCGCGGACGGAGCGGCCGAUGGCAGAUUAGGUAGUUGGUGGGAUAAAAGCUUACCAAGCCGUCGAUCUGUAGCUGGUCUGAGAGGAUGAUCAGCCACACUGGGACUGAGACACGGCCCAGACUCCUACGGGAGGCAGCAGUGGGGAAUUUUGGACAAUGGGCGCAAGCCUGAUCCAGCCAUGCCGCGUGCAGGAUGAAGGCCUUCGGGUUGUAAACUGCUUUUGUACGGAACGAAAAGGUGCCUUCUAAUAAAGGGCGCUCAUGACGGUACCGUAAGAAUAAGCACCGGCUAACUACGUG